Diospyros lotus (date-plum) is the source of this 3968-nucleotide RNA transcript. It is a transcript of the gene named probable receptor-like protein kinase At2g23200, with no coding region annotated. The record is from RefSeq and is a predicted model, not a curated record. The transcript has 2 exons. NCBI's taxonomy places the organism in Eukaryota, Viridiplantae, Streptophyta, Magnoliopsida, Ericales, Ebenaceae.
UAUUCUGCGUGGGAUGGGCACAGUCAAAAAGCUACAAGCUGAUGCAAGUCAACUUCCAGUCAAUGUCGUCAUUCGUGUCAUUUCCAGGAUAUAUGCGCGCGAGCCUCAUUGCUCCGAUCACCCUUCCCGCAAGGCGCUGAUUCCAUGGCAAUGGCAAAGCUUCGCUGCCCCAAACCAGAAUUGCGCUUCUCUGUCUGUCUCCUCCUCCUCCUCCUCCUCCUUCUCCCCCAGCUUUCACUUCUCUCAUCAACCUACACUGCACCUGACAAGUACUUCAUCAACUGCGGCUCAGACUCCAACGUCACAGCCGGUGGCGGCCGGAUCUUCGUCGGAGACGAGAAACCCGGUUCCUUGGCCCUCUCCACCGGCAAAAGCAGUUCUGUAAAUGACGCCAGCUCGUCGAGCGCCGCCUCUCCUCUUCUGUAUCAAACGGCAAGAAUCUUCACAACCCCUUCUUCAUACGACCUAGAAAUCGACCAAAACGGCACUUACAUGGUCCGCCUCCAUUUCUACCCUUUUUCAUCUCGCAAGAAUCUCUUCGAUGCCCAAUUCAGCGUUUCGGCUUCCCGGUUCCCUUUGUUAUCGAAUUUCAGCGUACGAAACACUAGUACCUCGCCUGUGAUUAAGGAAUUUCUGCUGCCCAAUAUUAGCGCGGGAAAAUUCAGAAUCUAUUUCACUCCUCAAGAACCACCUCUGGCCUUUGUAAAUGCAAUAGAAGUGUUUGUCGCCCCCGAUGAUUUCAUCCCAGAUUCGGCCACUCAUGUCACUGCUUCAGGGGGAAACAGUAAACUCGGUGGCUUGCUUUCUCAUGCUUUUCACCCAGUUCACAGGAUCAACGUUGGGGGCGAAAUUCUCACGGCUGAUAACGAUACUUUGUGGAGAAAUUGGGUUCCUGAUGAUGAAUAUCUAUUUUCCUCUGAGGCAGCAAAGAACAGUAGGCGCAGUGAUCCGCCCAAUUACCAGGAUGGAAGAGCAGAUAAGUACGAUGCUCCUGAUCUUGUCUAUAAUACUGCUAAAGAAAUGAAUACAAGUUCUGAUAGGGACUACGACUUUUUCAAUAUAACGUGGCGUUUUGGUGUGGAUAAAAAUGCUAGGCAUCUUGUUCGAGUACAUUUUUGCGACAUAAUAAGCAAAAGCGUCAAUGAUACUCAGUUCAAUCUCUACGUUUACAGCAACUUCAGUAAGGUAAUAGAUCCAUAUGAGGAGAUUGGCCAUCUCGCGGCUCCUUUUUACUAUGAUUUGGUGGUUGAGUCUGAUAAUUCUGGCAUUAUGAACAUAAGUGUUGGCCCUCGGAAUGGUACCCAUGUUCAAACAGCCUUUCUGAAUGGGCUAGAGAUCAUGGAGCUUAUACAGGAAUCAGGAUCGGUGCCUGAUGAAAACGAGUCAUCGAAGAACUAUUUGCUUGUCAUAGUUGGUUCUGUGGUUGGAGGUGUGGCUCUUCUGAUCUCAUUGGCGGUGGUGUUCUUGUUGUGUUUCAAGUAUAGGAAAGCAAAACCUGUUGAAGUUUCGGAUUGGCUGGCCAUCCCUCUGUUUGGAGGAAUGCGUUCACCUGGCGAGAGUAGGGAAAGAACUGCCACUGUCUCCCGCUCCCCUGUUUGCAAUCUUAAUCUCGGGUUGAAGCUAUCUUUUGCAGACAUUCAGUAUGCAACUAAUAAUUUUGACAUGAAGUUGUUGAUUGGUGAGGGUGGAUUUGGGAAAGUUUACAAGGGAACUCUCCGAAGUGGUAUAAAAGUGGCUGUCAAACGGAGCCAGCCAGGACAUGGCCAGGGCUUCCCAGAAUUCCAGACAGAGAUCACGGUCUUGUCCAAAAUUCGCCAUCGCCAUCUUGUUUCCUUGAUCGGAUAUUGUGAUGAGAGGUCUGAGAUGAUACUUGUUUACGAGUUCAUGGAGAGGGGGACUUUAAGGGACCAUCUCUAUGGUUCGAAUCGUGACAAUGAGAAAUCAACAGUGAGCUUUGAAUUGUCUUGGAUCCGAAGGCUUGAAAUUUGCAUUGGUGCUGCAAAGGGUCUACAUUAUCUUCACAGCAGUUCAGACAUCUGCAUCAUUCACAGGGAUGUUAAGUCAACAAACAUCUUACUUGAUUUUCAUUUUGUGGCUAAAGUUUCUGAUUUUGGCAUCUCAAGAUUAGGUCCUCUUGAUCAAACCCAUGUCAGCACGGUUGUGAAAGGCACUUUCGGUUAUCUAGAUCCUGAAUAUUUCAGAUGCCUACAGUUGACUAAGAAAUCGGAUGUAUUCUCAUUUGGGGUGGUUCUCCUGGAAGUGCUUUGUGCAAGACGACCCAUUAGUAACUUGCUUCCCGCAGAGGAAAUAAACUUGGCUGAAUGGGGCUUGUCCUGGCAUAAGAAAGGGGAGCUUGAGAAAAUUAUCGAUCCUUUGCUUGUGGGGAAAAUCAAUCCCAACUCGUUGAGAAUGUUUGGUGGAAUAGUGGAGAAGUGUCUGAGGGAGUACGGUGUUGACAGGCCGAGUAUGCAUGAUGUUUUGUGGGAUUUGGAAUAUGCGCUGCAGCUCCAACAGACUGCUAGGAACCGAGAACCUCAUGAAGACAGCACGCCAGACCCGUCAUGGGUGCUCCCGGUGCCUGCAUUUGCUCACCUACCUUCUGAAAGCAUCUCGAUUAGCAACGAUGAGAUACCUAUGGCUGGUUUCUCAGAUUCAAGUCAUCCAAGUGCCAGUGAAGUUUUCUCCCUGAUAAAAAUUGAUGAAGCCAGAUAAUCUUGCAGUAUGAGGUCUGACUUCUGGUCUUCUAAGUAUGUUUGGUAAGGAAUUGCUGGAGUAAUCUUGCAAUACUUUGUCAAAUAGCUUUUGCUUCUUUCUAUGGUUCAGGUUGCGAAUUAGGUGAAACAGGUAAAAUGUCCAAAAAAGUGGAUUGUCGAAAUCAGCUUAAGUAUCCAUAAUCCAUGUAUUAUUUGACUUUCAUUGUGUCAAUGUUUGGUAUCUAGAUGUUGAAUUGGACCAUAGAGGCAGCUGGAUGAGAUUUUGCUUUUAUAUUAUCAUCCUAGUUGUUCUUUAGAUACCCUCUCUCGUGUAGUUAUAACCAUUAUUUUGCAAUCUUGUGUGCUUAGCCAGAUGUUCAUGUUUCCCUGAGGCUGAUUCUUCGGCAAUUGUGGAAAAUUAUCUGUGGCAGACAGCUGGAAGAAAAGAAUUUUCCUUUUUACAAUAUGAACUGCCUAGAGGAUGGACAAGAAUUACAUCUACUAAGAAAUCAAUGAGAAAAACAGAGGAAGAAACUGGAAGCGAAUUCCCUAGUGCCCGUUGCCUUUCCUGCUCGGUCCAGAUGCCAACGGGUACAAUUCGUUUCCCCGCAGAAGCCGGUUAUUUGAGUUGCUCAACGAGCCAGAGGGCGCAGCCUGGCCAGCAGACUCAAGUUGAGCCCCACGAACUGAUGAUAAUGAGCCGGCGAUGUCAGACUUGAGCAGCCUGGAAGAAUCAGCCGGAGAUGACAGAGUAAGAACCAGCAGCGUAAUGGCCAUUGCGACAAGAAGAGAACGCCGUCUUGCUGUCGACCUUGUAGUGGUGGUGCUUUUCAGCUCCAUCUCUGGAUUUUGGUUGAACAUCGAAGGAAUUAGCUCCUCUGCAGCAACGUUGGAAGGGGAAGGCUUGGUGCAGCGUCUCUCCAUCGCCUCUGCUUGUUGAGGCUUUAUAUCAGGAGGCAGGGGCUCGCUAAGGACGGUGAAGCGCUUUUUUUCUUUUUUCAAAUGUGGGGCCUUCUUGGAUGCGUUUGACCGAAAUUCUGUGUUAGGUGAUUAGACGGUGAAGAUGGGAUCAUCUCUUCCUAUUUGUAUUUCACAUUUGAGCUCCCACAGUUCCGCCCUUCGCAUAAUGGAAAUGCCAAUCUGAACACGAGAAAGUUGACACUCCAUGCGAUAUUAGGUAAUCUGUGCAUGAGUCACUUGGAGUGUGCUGUGAUAUCGGUAUUAAUAAUGUGUUGUCUAUUCACUUUUACACUCAGUAAUUUUUGUUUUGAGUGA